Molecule: ribosomal RNA, 452 nt
Filed under: uncultured bacterium
Lineage: Bacteria
Description: partial 16S ribosomal RNA
Rfam family: Bacterial small subunit ribosomal RNA
Source: RNAcentral
AACGAACGCUGGCGGCAGGCUUAACACAUGCAAGUCGAGCGGGCGCUUUCGGGCGUCAGCGGCGGACGGGUUAGUAACGCGUGGGAACGUGCCCUUUGCUCUGGAAUAGCCCUGGGAAACCGGGGGUAAUACCGGAUGUGCCCUGAGGGGGAAAGGUUUUACCGGCAAGGGAUCGGCCCGCGUCUGAUUAGGUAGUUGGUGUGGUAACGGCGCACCAAGCCGACGAUCGGUAGCUGGUUUGAGAGGAUGAUCAGCAACACUGGGACUGAGACACGGCCCAGACUCCUACGGGAGGCAGCAGUGGGGAAUCUUAGACAAUGGGCGAAAGCCUGAUCUAGCCAUGCCGCGUGGGUGAUGAAGGCCUUAGGGUCGUAAAGCCCUUUCGCCGGGGAAGAUAAUGACGGUACCCGGUAAAGAAACCCCGGCUAACUCCGUGCCAGCCGCCGCCGUAA